Molecule: ribosomal RNA, 497 nt
Filed under: uncultured bacterium
Lineage: Bacteria
Description: partial 16S ribosomal RNA
Rfam family: Bacterial small subunit ribosomal RNA
Source: RNAcentral
GAUGAACGCUGGCGGCGUGCCUAAUACAUGCAAGUCGAGCGAACGGAUGAGAAGCUUGCUUCUCUGAUGUUAGCGGCGGACGGGUGAGUAACACGUGGAUAACCUACCUAUAAGACUGGGAUAACUUCGGGAAACCGGCGCUAAUACCGGAUAAUCUUUUGCACCGCAUGGUUCAAAAGUGAAAGUCGGUCUUGCUGUAACUUAUAGAUGGAUCCGCGCUGCAUUAGCUAGUUGGUAAGGUAACGGCUUACCAAGGCAACGAUGCAUAGCCGACCUGAGAGGGUGAUCGGCCACACUGGAACUGAGACACGGUCCAGACUCCUACGGGAGGCAGCAGUAGGGAAUCUUCCGCAAUGGGCGAGAGCCUGACGGAGCAACGCGGCGUGAGAGAUGAAGGUCUUCGGAUCGUAAAACUCUGUUAUUAGGGAAGAACAUAUGUGUAAGUAACUGUGCACAUCUUGACGGUACCUAAUCAGAAAGCAACGGCUAACUACGUG